UACGUAGGGGGCAAGCGUUAUCCGGAUUUACUGGGUGUAAAGGGAGCGUAGACGGUUAUGCAAGUCUGAAGUGAAAGCCCAAGGCUCAACCAUGGGACUGCUUUGGAAACUGUAAAACUGGAGUGCAGGAGAGGUAAGCGGAAUUCCUAGUGUAGCGGUGAAAUGCGUAGAUAUUAGGAGAAACACCAGUGGCGAAGGCGGCUUACUGGACUGUAACUGACGUUGAGGCUCGAAGGCGUGGGGAGCAAACAGG
RNAcentral lists this ribosomal RNA (253 nucleotides) under uncultured bacterium. Its description in RNAcentral is "partial 16S ribosomal RNA". It matches the Rfam family "Bacterial small subunit ribosomal RNA", at positions 524 to 776 of the family's 1533-position model. The record is from RNAcentral.